Molecule: ribosomal RNA, 305 nt
Filed under: uncultured bacterium
Lineage: Bacteria
Description: bacterial SSU rRNA
Rfam family: Bacterial small subunit ribosomal RNA
Source: RNAcentral
UCUUCCUACGGGAGGCAGCAGUGAGGAAUAUUGGUCAAUGGUCGGGAGACUGAACCAGCCAAGCCGCGUGAGGGAGGUACAGAGUAUCGUAAACCUCUUUUGUCAGGGAACAAAGGCGGGGACGUGUCCCCGGAUGAGUGUACCUGAAGAAAAAGCAUCGGCUAACUCCGUGCCAGCAGCCGCGGUAAUACGGAGGAUGCGAGCGUUAUCCGGAUUUAUUGGGUUUAAAGGGUGCGUAGGCGGACUGUUAAGUCAGCGGUAAAAGCCCGGGGCUCAACCCCGGCGAGCCGUUGAAACUGGCUGUC